ACUCCUACGGGCAGGCAGCAGUGGGGAAUAUUGGACAAUGGGCGAAAGCCUGAUCCAGCCAUGCCGCGUGUGUGAAGAAGGUCUUCGGAUUGUAAAGCACUUUAAGUUGGGAGGAAGGGUUGUAGAUUAAUACUCUGCAAUUUUGACGUUACCGACAGAAUAAGCACCGGCUAACUCUGUGCCAGCAGCCGCGGUAAUA
This 199-nucleotide ribosomal RNA is filed under the name uncultured bacterium. Its description in RNAcentral is "partial 16S ribosomal RNA". It matches the Rfam family "Bacterial small subunit ribosomal RNA", at positions 335 to 525 of the family's 1533-position model. The record is from RNAcentral.